UACUCCUACGGGAGGCAGCAGUGGGGAAUUUUGCGCAAUGGACGAGAGUCUGACGCAGCAACGCCGCGUGGGUGAUGAAGGUCUUCGGACUGUAAAACCCUGUCGUCAGGGACGAAGGUGCGCGUGUUAAUAGCAUGCGUGCUUGACGGUACCUGGAGAGGAAGCCCCGGCUAACUCUGUGCCAGCAGCCGCGGUAAUACAGAGGGGGCAAGCGUUAUUCGGAAUUAUUGGGCGUAAAGGGCGCGUAGGCGGUUUUUUAAGUCAGAUGUGUAAUCCCCGGGCUCAACUUGGGAACUGCAUCUGAGACUGGAAGGCUAGAGUACUGGAGAGGGUGGUGGAAUUCCUCGUGUAGCGGCGAAAUGCGUAGAGAUGAGGAGGAACACCAGUGGCGAAGGCGGCCACCUGGACAGUAAC
This 414-nucleotide ribosomal RNA is filed under the name uncultured bacterium. RNAcentral's name for it is "bacterial SSU rRNA". It matches the Rfam family "Bacterial small subunit ribosomal RNA", at positions 334 to 740 of the family's 1533-position model. The record is from RNAcentral.